RNAcentral lists this ribosomal RNA (879 nucleotides) under Triticum aestivum (bread wheat). RNAcentral describes it as "partial small subunit ribosomal RNA". Lineage: Eukaryota; Viridiplantae; Streptophyta; Magnoliopsida; Poales; Poaceae. The record is from RNAcentral.
AUGAAAGUAGGCUGGCCAUGGUUGAGGGUGGCGGCCAGUCCUCUCACUCCUCUGCCAACGCCGUCUCCCAUGGAGGGCGUGGCGGACCCAACCAUGGCGGAGGCCGUGGUGGCAACGGUGGUCGCUAUGGAGCCGACCGAGGCAACGGGGGCGAUGGCCGUGGCCAAGGUCGUGGCGGUGUCCGCGAGAACGGAGGAACAAACAGCUGAUCCUUCAGUUAAUCUUCAUAAAAAUCCUGCUGUCAAUUUUGGUGGAAAUCCCGUUGUAUAUCAUGAUUUUAUGCAGCAGACACGCGCGGAACACAAUGCAGAUUCAGGUGUUGUAGCUGAUCUUGACAGCAGCGAUCCCGGGGAUGAUUCCCCCUCGUCUGACGCGCCAGCCAGCACUGGCGGCACAGUAUCCGCCUCGGGAGGAGCCGAGCCAUCCGCGACGUCCCACGCGUCCAGCCGCGGGCCCGCAAGGAGGGGCCUAGAAGUGCACUCCUCGCUCGAUGGACCCAGAGCGAGUCACGCGCCUCUCUCGAGCCGCCAAGUGGCGUGGUCUCCUUUAGGCGGUCGGGCUGACCAGCCAGGCACGUCACGGGCGGGGAGCAAGAUCCGCCUCGCUCCUCGUGUCGGCCAAUCAGGCGCGCAACAUGACGCGUCAACAUCCGCGUUGGAUCCGGUGCAUCUGGAUCGGCUGCUCCUGUGCCUGCAUCGAGCAUGGAUGGAUCUUCUGUGGCGGAGGACUCUGCAGUUAUUUCUGCACCCACACAGAGAACAAGGUCACAACAUGGUACAGAUGGUACGGUCAGUAUCAAACAAUUGGAGUCUUCAUCAAUUCGAUUUGCAGAAUGCGUUCCUUCAUGGCGUUCUAGAGGAGGAAGCAUAUAUGAAGUAA